AACGCGAAGAACCUUACCAGGCCUUGACAUCCCGAUCGCGGCCCCUUGAAAGAGGGGCCUUCAGUUAGGCUGGAUCGGUGACAGGUGCUGCAUGGCUGUCGUCAGCUCGUGUCGUGAGAUGUUGGGUUAAGUCCCGCAACGAGCGCAACCCUCGCCCUUAGUUGCCAUCAUUAAGUUGGGCACUCUAAGGGGACUGCCGGUGAUAAGCCGCGAGGAAGGUGGGGAUGACGUCAAGUCCUCAUGGCCCUUACGGCCUGGGCCACACACGUGCUACAAUGGCGGUGACAAUGGGCAGCAAAGGCGCAAGCCCCAGCUAAUCUCAAAAAGCCGUCUCAGUUCGGAUUGGAGUCUGCAACUCGACUCCAUGAAGUCGGAAUCGCUAGUAAUCGUGGAUCAGCACGCCACGGUGAAUACGUUCCCGGGCCUUGUACACACCGAUAGC
RNAcentral lists this ribosomal RNA (442 nucleotides) under uncultured bacterium. RNAcentral's name for it is "bacterial SSU rRNA". It matches the Rfam family "Bacterial small subunit ribosomal RNA", at positions 958 to 1397 of the family's 1533-position model. The record is from RNAcentral.